RNAcentral lists this ribosomal RNA (253 nucleotides) under uncultured bacterium. RNAcentral's name for it is "partial 16S ribosomal RNA". It matches the Rfam family "Bacterial small subunit ribosomal RNA", at positions 524 to 776 of the family's 1533-position model. The record is from RNAcentral.
UACGGGGGGAGCAAGCGUUGUUCGGAUUUAUUGGGCGUAAAGAGCUCGUAGGCGGCUCCGUAAGUCAGAGGUGAAAUCCCACGGCUCACCCGUGGACACGCCUUUGAAACUGCGGAGCUUGAGGCCCGGAGAGGAAAGCGGAAUUCCUGGAGUAGCGGUGAAAUGCGUAGAUAUCAGGAGGAACACCAGUGGCGAAGGCGGCUUUCUGGACGGGUACUGACGCUGAGGAGCGAAAGCUAGGGGAGCAAACAGG